RNAcentral lists this ribosomal RNA (468 nucleotides) under uncultured bacterium. RNAcentral describes it as "partial 16S ribosomal RNA". It matches the Rfam family "Bacterial small subunit ribosomal RNA", at positions 28 to 507 of the family's 1533-position model. The record is from RNAcentral.
GACGAACGCUGGCGGCGUGCUUAACACAUGCAAGUCGAACGGUAAGGCCCUGCUUUUUUGGGGUGCUCGAGUGGCGAACGGUUGAGUAACACGUGAGUAACCUGCCCUUGACUUUGGGAUAACUUCAGGAAACUGGGGCUAAUACCUGAUAGUAGCUCCUUCUGCAUGGUGGGGGUUGUAAAGUUUCGGCGGUUGGGGAUGGACUCGCGGCUUAUCAGCUUGUUGGUGGGGUAGUGGCUUACCAAGGCUUUGACGGGUAGCCGGCCUGAGAGGGUGACCGGCGACAUUGGGACUGAGAUACGGCCCAGACUCCUACGGGAGGCAGCAGUGGGGAAUAUUGCACAAUGGGCGGAAGCCUGAUGCAGCAACGCCGCGUGCGGGAUGACGGCCUUCGGGUUGUAAACCGCUUUCGCCUGUGACGAAGCGUGAGUGACGGUAAUGGGUAAAGAAGCACCGGCUAACUACGUG